UACGGGGGGAGCAAGCGUUGUUCGGAUUUACUGGGCGUAAAGGGCGCGUAGGCGGUCGUGACAAGUCACUUGUGAAAUCUCCGGGCUUAACUCGGAACGGUCAAGUGAUACUGUCGGACUAGAGUACAGAAGGGGCAACUGGAAUUCUCGGUGUAGCGGUGAAGUGCGUAGAUAUCGAGAGGAACACCUGCGGCGAAGGCGGGUUGCUGGGCUGAUACUGACGCUGAGGCGCGAAAGCCAGGGGAGCGAACGGG
RNAcentral lists this ribosomal RNA (254 nucleotides) under uncultured bacterium. RNAcentral's name for it is "partial 16S ribosomal RNA". It matches the Rfam family "Bacterial small subunit ribosomal RNA", at positions 524 to 776 of the family's 1533-position model. The record is from RNAcentral.